GGGGAAUUUUCCGCAAUGGGCGAAAGCCUGACGGAGCAAUACCGCGUGAGGGAAGAAGGCUCUUGGGUUGUAAACCUCUUUUCUCAGGGAAGAAGUCCUGACGGUACCUGAGGAAUCAGCAUCGGCUAACUCCGUGCCAGCAGCCGCGGUAAUACGGAGGAUGCAAGCGUUAUCCGGAAUUAUUGGGCGUAAAGAGUCCGUAGGUGGUCAGAUAAGUCUGCUGUCAAAGACCGGGGCUUAACUCCGGAAAGGCAGUGGAAACUGUGUGACUAGAGACCGGGAGGGGUAGAGAGAAUUCCCAGUGUAGCGGUGAAAUGCGUAGAGAUUGGGAAGAACACCGGUGGGGAAGGCGCUCUACCGGACCGGAACUGACACUGAGGGACGAAAGCUAGGGGAGCGAAAGGGAUUAUAUACCCCUGUAGUC
Molecule: ribosomal RNA, 424 nt
Filed under: uncultured cyanobacterium
Lineage: Bacteria; Bacillati; Cyanobacteriota
Description: bacterial SSU rRNA
Rfam family: Bacterial small subunit ribosomal RNA
Source: RNAcentral